GGAGGAAUGUCCGAACGGUAAGGGGCCGGUCUUGAAAAUCGGUGUAGGCGAAAGCCGUGGGGGUUCGAAUCCCUCUUCCUCCGCCA
This 86-nucleotide transfer RNA is filed under the name bacterium ADurb.Bin363. Its description in RNAcentral is "tRNA-Ser". It matches the Rfam family "tRNA". Rfam says of the family: Transfer RNA (tRNA) molecules are approximately 80 nucleotides in length. RNAcentral also lists the same sequence under 1 other name. The record is from RNAcentral.